ACGAGUUUGAUCCUGGCUCAGAUUGAACGCUGGCGGCAUGCCUUACACAUGCAAGUCGAGCGGGUUUUCGGACCUAGCGGCGGACGGGUGAGUAAUGCGUAGGAAGCUACCGAUAGAGGGGGAUACCAGUUGGAAACGACUGUUAAUACCGCAUAAUGUCUACGGACCAAAGUGUGGGACCUUCGGGCCACAUGCUAUCGGAUGCGCCUACGUGGGAUUAGCUAGUUGGUGAGGUAAUGGCUCACCAAGGCGACGAUCUCUAGCUGGUUUGAGAGGAUGAUCAGCCACACUGGAACUGAGACACGGUCCAGACUCCUACGGGAGGCAGCAGUGGGGAAUCUUAGACAAUGGGCGCAGGCCUGAUCUAGCCAUGCCGCGUGAGCGAUGAAGGCCUUAGGGUUGUAAAGCUCUUUCAGAUGGGAAGAUAAUGACGGUACCAUCAGAAGAAGCCCCGGCUAACUCCGUG
Molecule: ribosomal RNA, 466 nt
Filed under: uncultured bacterium
Lineage: Bacteria
Description: bacterial SSU rRNA
Rfam family: Bacterial small subunit ribosomal RNA
Source: RNAcentral